This 450-nucleotide ribosomal RNA is filed under the name uncultured bacterium. Its description in RNAcentral is "partial 16S ribosomal RNA". It matches the Rfam family "Bacterial small subunit ribosomal RNA", at positions 354 to 796 of the family's 1533-position model. The record is from RNAcentral.
GUGGGGAAUAUUGGACAAUGGGCGAAAGCCUGAUCCAGCCAUGCCGCGUGUGUGAAGAAGGUCUUCGGAUUGUAAAGCACUUUAAGUUGGGAGGAAGGGCAGUAAGUUAAUACCUUGCUGUUUUGACGUUACCGACAGAAUAAGCACCGGCUAACUUCGUGCCAGCAGCCGCGGUAAUACGAAGGGUGCAAGCGUUAAUCGGAAUUACUGGGCGUAAAGCGCGCGUAGGUGGUUUUGUAAGUUGGAGGUGAAAUCCCCGGGCUCAACCUGGGAACUGCCUCCAAAACUACUGGGCUAGAGUACGGUAGAGGGUAGUGGAAUUUCCUGUGUAGCGGUAAAAUGCGUAGAUAUAGGAAGGAACACCAGUGGCGAAGGCGACUACCUGGACUGAUACUGACACUGAGGUGCGAAAGCGUGGGGAGCAAACAGGAUUAGAAACCCCAGUAGUCC